GACCUGAUGGUGGAGUGGUUACCACAUCUGCUCUAAUUUUCAGUAAGCAUACAAUUGUUUAGGCUGGAGGCCCCUGUUUGAUUCGGGGUCAGGUCA
Mycena latifolia is the source of this 96-nucleotide non-coding RNA. The record is from the annotation of a GenBank genome assembly. Lineage: Eukaryota; Fungi; Basidiomycota; Agaricomycetes; Agaricales; Mycenaceae.